GACGAACGCUGGCGGCGUGCUUAACACAUGCAAGUCGAACGGAAAGGCCCUGCUUUUGUGGGGUGCUCGAGUGGCGAACGGGUGAGUAACACGUGAGUAACCUGCCCUUGACUUUGGGAUAACUUCAGGAAACUGGGGCUCAUACCGGAUAGGAUCUCCUGCUGCAUGGUGGGGGUUGGAAAGUUUCGGCGGUUGGGGAUGGACUCGCGGCUUAUCAGCUUGUUGGUGGGGUAGUGGCUUACCAAGGCUUUGACGGGUAGCCGGCCUGAGAGGGUGACCGGCGACAUUGGGACUGAGAUACGGCCCAGACUCCUACGGGAGGCAGCAGUGGAGAAUAUUGCACAGUGGGCGGAAGCCUGAUGCAGCAACGCCGCGUGCGGGAUGACGGCAUUCGGGUUGUAAACCGCUUUCGCCUGUGACGAAGCGUGAGUGACGGUAAUGGGUAAAAAAGCACCGGCUAACUACGUG
Molecule: ribosomal RNA, 468 nt
Filed under: uncultured bacterium
Lineage: Bacteria
Description: partial 16S ribosomal RNA
Rfam family: Bacterial small subunit ribosomal RNA
Source: RNAcentral